AGUGGCGGACGGGUGAGUAACGCGUGGUAACCUGCCCCAUACAGGGGGAUAACAGCCGGAAACGGCUGCUAAUACCGCAUGCACAUGCGGGGGCGCAUGCCCCUGGAUGGAAAGCUUUCGCGGUAUGGGAUGGGCCCGCGUCUGAUUAGGCAGUUGGCGGGGUAACGGCCCACCAAACCGACGAUCAGUAGCCGGCCUGAGAGGGCAACCGGCCACAUUGGGACUGAGACACGGCCCAAACUCCUACGGAAGGCAGCAG
This 259-nucleotide ribosomal RNA is filed under the name uncultured bacterium. Its description in RNAcentral is "partial 16S ribosomal RNA". It matches the Rfam family "Bacterial small subunit ribosomal RNA", at positions 94 to 354 of the family's 1533-position model. The record is from RNAcentral.